RNAcentral lists this ribosomal RNA (395 nucleotides) under uncultured bacterium. RNAcentral's name for it is "partial 16S ribosomal RNA". It matches the Rfam family "Bacterial small subunit ribosomal RNA", at positions 523 to 918 of the family's 1533-position model. The record is from RNAcentral.
AUACGUAGGGUGCAAGCGUUAAUCGGAAUUACUGGGCGUAAAGCGUGCGCAGGCGGUUUUGUAAGACAGGGGUGUAAUCCCCGGGCUCAACCUGGGGACUGCCAUUGUGACUGCACGGCUGGCGUGCGGCAGAGGGGGAGGGAAUUCCGCGUGUAGCAGUGAAAUGCGUAGAUAUGCGGAGGAACACCGAUGGCGAAGGCAAUCCCCUGGGCCUGCACUGACGCUCAUGCACGAAAGCGUGGGGAGCAAACAGGAUUAGAUACCCUGGUAGUCCACGCCCUAAACGAUGUCAACUGGUUGUUGGGGAUUUAUUUUCUCAGUAACGAAGCUAACGCGUGAAGUUGACCGCCUGGGGAGUACGGCCGCAAGGUUAAAACUCAAAGGAAUCGACGGGG